UCUAGUUGUGUAGCAGUGGGAAGAAAGACCCACAACUCUCCAUUCCACAACUCAGUUCUCCGCCACCAUCUGUUCGUUCAGCAUUUAGCAUACAGAGAAAGAUGUAGCAAUAGCUAAACAUCUUUCAAGAUUUAGCAGUCUCACAUAAACAAGAAUCUCAAACCAAAAGGCUCUUUUCAGAGCCGUUAUUUAAGCAGUUGUGUAGUCUGAGUUUUUUUUUAAAUUUUUUAUUUCAUUUAAUUUGUUCACUCACAUACACAUACAUAAUACGGUACAACAAAAAAAAAAACUUAAUAGUAAAAGAAAUAAGAAUAAUAUUACAUUAAAUAAUAAGUGUAUAGACAUUAAGAGGCCAAAAUAAGUUUAGAAUCAAACUUUAAGCCAUGACCACCAGUUAAAAUUAUAUUAGGCAUACAUCAAUAAAAUAUUAUAAAUACAAUUUAAUAAUAAAUACAUAAUAAAGUUGAAUUAAGGCAGUGUGUCAAUUAUUCAUUAAUUUGACCAAAAUGUCAAGUUUACAAACAAGCACAUAGCAAUUAUAACACUACACACUACAGUAAUUAUUUGUAGAAGUCUAAUGAAGAUAAGCCUAUCCAAUAGUGAUGUUAAAGAGUCGAAACCAGGACAUAACUCCAACUUUAGAUUGACAAUGAUUGAAAAAUGUUAAAUACAGGCACAAUGUAUACAUCCUAUGUAACAGAGUCCAGUUAGAAUAUGUAAUUAUGUAUCAAAUUGAUAUAUUAUGAUUACUGUACUAUUAUUAUUAUUAUUAUCAUAUACAUACAUACAUACAAAUAUAUAUUUGUAUAUUUUCUUAUAAGUCAUAUAAUUCAGCUUGUCAGACGGUCUUUAAGGCACAAUGCUACACCACCUUCGUUAGACCCACUCUUAAAUAUGCCUCUGCCGCUUUGUCUCCUCACACACAAGCCAAUAUCAAUAUACCUGUAUAUAUACAGUAUACACUUUUGUAUUAACAAAAUAACAUUAUUUAAUUCAAGAUUUGAAAAGGAUGACAUUUAUCAAUGAUGUUUUAAUAAUUCCGCAUGAAGGGCGAUGCAAAAAUGGAUCCGUAUUUGAUGGAAUCGAGGCAUUUUGUAUGUUUUUUUUAUCGUUUUGCGUAUCAUGUCGAUAUGCAGACAUGGUUCCAAACUUCGGUCGGUCAUAACAGAGUUGUUUUUGGCAACGUGCAAAAUCUUGGACAUCAUUAUUUACGACAAUUGUAACCAUCUUUUGGAAACUCUCCAACAGCCAUGACUUGCUCCAGGUAAGCUUCAAGAAUUUUGUAAUGUUAUUCAAACUAAGGGCGCAUCGCUCAACAACUGUGGGGGGGGGGGGAUUCAUAGAUGCGACCGUUCGACCCAUUUGUAGACCUGUACAGUCGCAAAGAAUUAUGUAAAAUGGACAUAAAAGAAUUCAUGGUAAUUAAUUUCAGUCUGUUGUCGCUCCGAAUGGAUUAAUCGCAAACCUCGGCUCUUCGAAUUAUAUUUGUAGCUAAAAAUAUUUGAAUUGAGCAUCUCUUUUACUAAAUCAUUGUCCAUUUCUUCAUCCCAUCUAAAUAG
Anneissia japonica is the source of this 1559-nucleotide long non-coding RNA. RefSeq lists it as uncharacterized. The transcript is spliced from 2 exons. The record is from RefSeq and is a predicted model, not a curated record. Lineage: Eukaryota; Metazoa; Echinodermata; Crinoidea; Comatulida; Comatulidae.